Molecule: long non-coding RNA, 1015 nt
Organism: Xenia sp. Carnegie-2017
Lineage: Eukaryota; Metazoa; Cnidaria; Anthozoa; Malacalcyonacea; Xeniidae
Exons: 5
Source: RefSeq, a predicted model, not a curated record
AAAGGAUUCUGUGUUAGUGACAGUGUGAUGUUUCUUGUUUGUCUCGUCGAGUGAAUUCGAAAACGUUCAAUUGGGGACACAUGUCUCACGAAUACUAGCAAGUAUUCAGAUUCGAGCGAUAAUGAUACGUAUGUUGGCUCGAAGGUAUAUUCAAAAAAUUGAGCGUUCGGUUGCUCCAAGGUAAAACUUUUAUUGUUCAUUGCCUUCAACAAUUGUCAGCAGAAACGUCUACAUAAGGCCAAAGCAACAAUAAGGAUUAUGCUUCAAGUUUAAUGAAUGAAGACUGAAGAGUAUCAAAUCCAAGUACAAAGGAAUUAUGUUGGAAGGAUAUUUUUUUCAAGUGAUAAGCCCUUCCCAAAAUUGGAUGGAUGCUAAUGACACUGAAUCAGAACUGUACCUGGAGUCUCAGAAUUUACUAUUUUGGAUUAAGAAUACUGAUGAAGAAAAAUUGGUUGUGGGCACAGCAUUCGAAUCUUUGUAUUUAAAUCUUAUCAAGUACUAUCAAAGGGACUUGUGACUGAAGUUCAAUGAAUUUGUAUUACUGUGUCUGUGGGCUGUAUUUGGUUAACUUUAACUGUGUAUUUCAAAAAAAUUGCAAAAGAUGUUCAAAACUCAUAUGGAACUGAAAAUGGCAUAUGGUAGUUGUUGUUAUAGUAUGGUGGAUUUUUACUAACUCACAUCUUGUGAUCUAUGAAGGAUAAAGCUCCAAAAAACAUCAUAUGGAAUCCUAAUGUAUACUUGUUCUUGAUCAGUGUAGAUGGCCUUGCAAGCACGAUUUACAACAUUAGAUACAGUAGAAAGUUCGUAGAAAGAUCGAAAGUUUUUGUGACUGUGUUGUUUAAAAUUUUGUUGUUUGAGCAAUCGAGCUCGUAGUUCGCGUGUUCACACCCCCCUUAAAUUAUGAUUCGAAGGGGUGUGUGCACAGUAUAGACUGGAUUAUAUAUAUCGUACCACAUAUACGUAGAGUAUAGUAUGAAAAUUGAAGCCGGAAGACGGCUCAUUUGCAUAUGUUUUA